RNAcentral lists this transfer RNA (85 nucleotides) under bacterium. RNAcentral's name for it is "tRNA-Leu". It matches the Rfam family "tRNA". Rfam says of the family: Transfer RNA (tRNA) molecules are approximately 80 nucleotides in length. RNAcentral also lists the same sequence under 1 other name. The record is from RNAcentral.
GCGGAAGUGGUGAAAUUGGUAUACACGCAACCUUGAGGUGGUUGUGCUUUCGGGCAUGGGGGUUCAAGUCCCCCCUUCCGCACCA